This 74-nucleotide transfer RNA is filed under the name Candidatus Enterovibrio escicola. Its description in RNAcentral is "Candidatus Enterovibrio escacola tRNA". It matches the Rfam family "tRNA". From Rfam's summary of the family: Transfer RNA (tRNA) molecules are approximately 80 nucleotides in length. Their secondary structure includes four short double-helical elements and three loops (D, anti-codon, and T loops). The record is from Rfam by way of RNAcentral. Lineage: Bacteria; Pseudomonadati; Pseudomonadota; Gammaproteobacteria; Vibrionales; Vibrionaceae.
GCGCCCGUAGCUCAGAUGGAUAGAGCAUUGGCCUCCGGAGCCAAAGGUCUCAGGUUCGAAUCCUGUCGGGUGCG